UGGGAUGAGUUGAUACAGACAUUUUUUGGUUUGUUCAUGGUCAUUAGUAUAGGCCAUACAUAAAAGAUAUUUUGUGAUGGACAUAUUUUAUUGUCCAGUUGCUACAUAUUGUAAGUCAUACAUGUAGUAUUCUGGAAAACUGGGAAUAUGUAUACUGUGGAUUCAUUAAUAUUCAUUGGAUACUAAUUUUCAAGGAUUUCGUUGGAACUGGGGAACCACUAAUCUUAAUGUUCAAUGAAUUACAAUUUUUUUAAAGGAAUAUAUGUAGAUUUUGCCAAAACCACCAAAUUAUAUAUCAACGAAAAUACAAUUUUUCCUCAUUCCACAAAAAUUGGUACCAUUGAAAACCAGGUGCUCCGAAGGGGGUAGAAGUGGAACCCUGAACAGUUGGGGCAAGUAUGGACACAACAUUCAAGCUUGAUACAGCUCUGAAUUUAGAUUGCAAUCAAAUUUUUGACAUAAUAUGAGUUUCUGAUACAAAACAAAUGUCAAGAUCUUACAAAUCUAUUGCGUAAUAUUGUGCAAUUAAAGAUUUCUUCUUUUAACUUUUCAAAAAUUUAGAAU
Molecule: long non-coding RNA, 564 nt
Filed under: Mytilus galloprovincialis (Mediterranean mussel)
Lineage: Eukaryota; Metazoa; Mollusca; Bivalvia; Mytilida; Mytilidae
Source: RNAcentral